RNAcentral lists this ribosomal RNA (446 nucleotides) under uncultured bacterium. RNAcentral's name for it is "bacterial SSU rRNA". It matches the Rfam family "Bacterial small subunit ribosomal RNA", at positions 331 to 792 of the family's 1533-position model. The record is from RNAcentral.
CCAGACUCCUACGGGAGGCAGCAGUGGGGGAUAUUGCACAAUGGGGGGAACCCUGAUGCAGCGACGCCGCGUGAGUGAAGAAGUAAUUCGUCAUGUAAAGCUCUAUCAGCAGGGAAGAAUAAAUGACGGUACCUGAGUAAGAAGCCCCGGCUAACUACGUGCCAGCAGCCGCGGUAAUACGUAGGGGGCAAGCGUUAUCCGGAUUUACUGGGUGUAAAGGGAGCGUAGACGGCAUGGCAAGUCUGAAGUGAAAGCCCGGGGCUCAACCGCGGGACUGCUUUGGAAACUGUUAAGCUGGAGUGCAGGAGAGGUAAGUGGAAUUCCUAGUGUAGCGGUGAAAUGCGUAGAUAUUAGGAGGAACACCAGUGGCGAAGGCGACUUACUGGACUGUAACUGACGUUGAGGCUCGAAAGCGUGGGGAGCAAACAGGAUUAGAUACCCCCGUA